This 73-nucleotide transfer RNA is filed under the name Gemmatimonadota bacterium. Its description in RNAcentral is "Gemmatimonadetes bacterium tRNA-Ala". It matches the Rfam family "tRNA". Rfam says of the family: Transfer RNA (tRNA) molecules are approximately 80 nucleotides in length. The record is from RNAcentral. Lineage: Bacteria; Pseudomonadati; Gemmatimonadota.
GAUCCGGUGGCAGAAUGGAUAUGCGCCCGGACUUGCAAGCUGGGAGACGUCGGUUCGAUUCCGACCCGGAUCU